AUUGAACGCUGGCGGAAGGAAUAACACAUGCAAGUCGAACGAGUGGCGGACGGGUGAGAAAUGUAUGGGAAACUGCCCGAUGGAGGGGGAUAACUACUGGAAACGGUAGCUAAUACAGCAUACCAUCGGAUGUGCCCAAAUGGGAUUAGCUAGUAGGUGGGGUAAUGGAUCUCCUAGGCGACGAUCCCUAGCUGGUCUGAGAGGAUGACCAGCCACACUGGAACUGAGACACGGGCCAGACUCCUACGGGAGGCAGCAGUGGGGAAUAUUGCACAAUGGGCGCAAGCCUGAUGCAGCCAUGCCGCGUGUAUGAAGAAGGCCUUCGGGUUGUAAAGUACUUUCAGCGAGGAGGCGUUACUCGCAGAAGAAGCACCGGCUAACUCCGUGCCAGCAGCCGCGGUAAUUC
RNAcentral lists this ribosomal RNA (406 nucleotides) under uncultured bacterium. Its description in RNAcentral is "partial 16S ribosomal RNA". It matches the Rfam family "Bacterial small subunit ribosomal RNA", at positions 30 to 526 of the family's 1533-position model. The record is from RNAcentral.